AACGUUUAGAGUUUGAUCCUGGCUCAGGACGAACGCUGGCGGUGCGCCUAAUGCAUGCAAGUCGAACGGGCAAUGGGGCUUCGGCCCCGGCGCUAGUGGCAGACGGCUGAGUAACACGUAAGUGAUCUGCCCCGGAGAGGGGGAUAAUCCGGAGAAAUCCGGCCUAAUACCCCGUACGUUCAUAUGGUUACGGCUGUAUGAAGAAAGGUUUCGACCGCUCUGGGAGGAGCUUGCGGCCUAUCAGGUAGUUGGCGGGGUAAUGGCCCACCAAGCCUAAGACGGGUAACCGAUGUGAGAGCAUGAUCGGUCAGAGGGGGACUGAGACACGGCCCCCACUCCUACGGGAGGCAGCAGCAGGGAAUCUUGCGCAAUGGGCGAAAGCCUGACGCAGCGAC
This 395-nucleotide ribosomal RNA is filed under the name Chloroflexota bacterium. Its description in RNAcentral is "bacterial SSU rRNA". It matches the Rfam family "Bacterial small subunit ribosomal RNA", at positions 1 to 395 of the family's 1533-position model. Lineage: Bacteria; Bacillati; Chloroflexota. The record is from RNAcentral.